This 301-nucleotide ribosomal RNA is filed under the name uncultured bacterium. RNAcentral's name for it is "partial 16S ribosomal RNA". It matches the Rfam family "Bacterial small subunit ribosomal RNA", at positions 509 to 807 of the family's 1533-position model. The record is from RNAcentral.
CAGUCGCCGCGGUAAUACGUAGGUGGCAAGCGUUGUCCGGAAUUAUUGGGCGUAAAGGGCUCGCAGGCGGUUUCUUAAGUAUGAUGUGAAAGCCCCCGGCUCAACCGGGGAGGGUCAUUGGAAACUGGGAAACUUGAGUGCAGAAGAGGAGAGUGGAAUUCCACGUGUAGCGGUGAAAUGCGUAGAGAUGUGGAGGAACACCAGUGGCGAAGGCGACUCUCUGGUCUGUAACUGACGCUGAGGAGCGAAAGCGUGGGGAGCGAACAGGAUUAGAUACCCCCGUAGUCCCUGUCUCUUAUAC